CAUUACACAAAUAUGAAGCCGGACUGGGAUAGGGCCUCGCUGCCUUGCCCGUCUGGCGCCAUAUUCACCCAUGUCUUUUUGCGUACUACUUGUUUCCUUGGCGGGUCCGCCCGCCAAUUGGACCUUAUUCAAACCUUUUUUUCAGUUGCAAUCAGCGUCAGCAAAACAAAUGUAAUCAAUUACAACUUUCAACAACGGAUCUCUUGGUUCUGGCAUCGAUGAAGAACGCAGCGAAAUGCGAUAAGUAGUGUGAAUUGCAGAAUUCAGUGAAUCAUCGAAUCUUUGAACGCACAUUGCGCCCUUUGGUAUUCCAAAGGGCAUGCCUGUUCGAGCGUCAUUUGUACCCUCAAGCUUUGCUUGGUGUUGGGCGUCUUGUCUCUCUCCCGAGACUCGCCUUAAAAUCAUUGGCAGCCGGCCUACUGGUUUCGGAGCGCAGCACAUUAUUUGCGCUCUUGUCCAGCCGCGGUCGCGCGUCCAUGAAGCUUCUUUCAACCUUUUGACCUCGGAUCAG
This 511-nucleotide ribosomal RNA is filed under the name Pyrenophora tritici-repentis. RNAcentral describes it as "eukaryotic LSU rRNA". The stretch from base 184 to 337 matches the Rfam family "5.8S ribosomal RNA". The record is from RNAcentral. Lineage: Eukaryota; Fungi; Ascomycota; Dothideomycetes; Pleosporales; Pleosporaceae.